RNAcentral lists this ribosomal RNA (523 nucleotides) under uncultured bacterium. RNAcentral describes it as "bacterial SSU rRNA". It matches the Rfam family "Bacterial small subunit ribosomal RNA", at positions 355 to 896 of the family's 1533-position model. The record is from RNAcentral.
UGGGGAAUAUUGGACAAUGGACCAAGAGUCUGAUCCAGCAAUUCUGUGUGCACGAUGAAGUUUUUCGGAAUGUAAAGUGCUUUCAGUUGGGAAGAAAAAAAUGACGGUACCAACAGAAGAAGUGACGGCUAAAUACGUGCCAGCAGCCGCGGUAAUACGUAUGUCACGAGCGUUAUCCGGAUUUAUUGGGCGUAAAGCGCGUCUAGGUGGUUAUGUAAGUCUGAUGUGAAAAUGCAGGGCUCAACUCUGUAUUGCGUUGGAAACUGUAUAACUAGAGUACUGGAGAGGUAAGCGGAACUACAAGUGUAGAGGUGAAAUUCGUAGAUAUUUGUAGGAAUGCCGAUGGGGAAGCCAGCUUACUGGACAGAUACUGACGCUGAAGCGCGAAAGCGUGGGUAGCAAACAGGAUUAGAUACCCUGGUAGUCCACGCCGUAACGAUGAUUACUAGGUGUUGGGGGUCGAACCUCAGCGCCCAAGCAAACGCGAUAAGUAAUCCGCCUGGGGAGUACGUACGCAAGUAUG